GACGAACGCUGGCGGCGUGCUUAACACAUGCAAGUCGAACGAUGAUGCCAGCUUGCUGGUGGAUUAGUGGCGAACGGGUGCGUAACACGUGAGCAACCUGCCCCUGACUUCGGGAUAACCGCGGGAAACCGUGGCUAAUACCGGAUAUGACGCGCUAUCGCAUGGUGGUGUGUGGAUAGAUUUAUCGGUUGGGGAUGGGCUCGCGGCCUAUCAGCUUGUUGGUGGGGUGAUGGCCUACCAAGGCGACGACGGGUAGCCGGCCUGAGCGGGUGACCGGCCACACUGGGACUGAGACACGGCCCAGACUCCUGCGGGAGGCAGCAGUGGGGAAUAUUGCACAAUGGGCGCAAGCCUGAUGCAGCGACGCCGCGUGAGGGAUGACGGCCUUCGGGUUGUAAACCUCUUUCAGUAGGGAAGAAGGCCUUCGGGUUGACGGUACCUGCAGAAGAAGCGCCGGCUAACUACGUG
RNAcentral lists this ribosomal RNA (468 nucleotides) under uncultured bacterium. RNAcentral describes it as "partial 16S ribosomal RNA". It matches the Rfam family "Bacterial small subunit ribosomal RNA", at positions 28 to 507 of the family's 1533-position model. The record is from RNAcentral.